This 217-nucleotide long non-coding RNA is filed under the name Lathyrus oleraceus (garden pea). RNAcentral's name for it is "Pisum sativum (pea) long non-coding RNA (PSAT_LNC010341)". Lineage: Eukaryota; Viridiplantae; Streptophyta; Magnoliopsida; Fabales; Fabaceae. The record is from RNAcentral.
GGUUGCAAUAUAGUGGUAAGUAUUCAAUCUAUCGGAUGACAUUGUGUAAGCUACUGUUUCGAAUUGCUCCGAAUGAUUUCCAUAAAUUCAGAAAUAAUUCAACAAACAAUACACUUUUAAAAGAAACUUUUGAUUGAUUUUGACCCUCAAAAUCGCAAAUUCCUCAUUUUUCUAUUUUAUUUAAUUUAUUUUUUGUUUUUUAUAUUUUCGAAAAAAU